UCCUCUGCAGCAAUGCGAUUUGACCAGCGUCUUUGUUGACCUGGUUUAAACAGAGCUAGAGGAUGGUCAGUUUGGACUAGUCCGAGUGCUAAGCAUUCUUGGGUCUAGGACAGAUUGCUCAUUAAUCUAUCUUUUUA
Molecule: unclassified non-coding RNA, 137 nt
Filed under: uncultured Rozellomycota
Lineage: Eukaryota; Fungi; Rozellomycota
Description: uncultured Cryptomycota sequence contains ITS2
Source: RNAcentral